This is a long non-coding RNA of Scylla paramamosain (green mud crab), 1469 nucleotides long. RefSeq lists it as uncharacterized. The record is from RefSeq and is a predicted model, not a curated record. Lineage: Eukaryota; Metazoa; Arthropoda; Malacostraca; Decapoda; Portunidae. The transcript is spliced from 5 exons.
AUACAUUGUCACGUCAGAGGAGAGGCCGCCAUUAGCUGGUGAGGAGCGAGUGGGAGAAGGACACAAGGCUGCUGCUCAUGUCCGACGGAGGAAGGAGCGUGGGCCUGGCGUGAGGAGCGUCUGGAAGCGGAACGAGAGUAGUGUGUAGAGUUGGACGCCUGCAGGUCACCAUAAGGAGCUGAAGAUGUGACGAUCGCGGUCUUCGGCAUCAGAGGCUUGGUACUUAAGUAAGUUGGCGCGCAGGUCAUCUCGUCACAUUCCCGUCCCCACACCUGACACACGGCCAUCCUGUACCAAUUACCCUGCCGAUGGUGUGGCGUCACUCGGCCGUGGCGGGGUCUGGGUGUCGGCGUGUUCUGGCCGCCACAGGACACGGCAGCGGCCAGGGGGACGCUCAAUGAUGCAGGUACAGUCCAUCUCGCAGCGCUCAUAACAUGGAAAGCUACUCGCCUCGCCUCUACCUGUGGCUUGGGAGGCUUCCACUCAACCCUGCAGACACCACGCUGCUCCUCUCGCUUCCAUCCAACAGCCACCUCUUGAAUAUACAGUCAGAAAAUCCAAACCUCUUGAAUCCUGCCACUGCGCGAGGCCCUUCCCCCGGGGCCCCUCCCUGCACCACUCACUCGCAGCCAGUGUUGCUUGCGUGUCCAGACGAAAAGAUGGACAGACAGGUGGAGAGCUAAGUGACAUGCUCGUUGGCAUUGACGUGACAGACCACCACCACCACCACCACCACCACCACAGAUCAACCACCGAAGCCCCCCGCCACCCAUCGCAUUACACACUCGCCCGUAAGAGAACGAAUUAAAACCACACAAUUUAUUUAAGGCACUUACUUGCCAUCGCGUCCUCCCACCCUCUUCACGAUACUCUUUACCUGCCAGGCCGUGGAGGGUACCCGAGACUACCCCCGCAGCAGCAACAUGUUGAGAAACCGUCAAUAUUACAUGACCCGCAAAGAGCAGGAAUGACGCGGGUGAGCAAGGCUGGGGUGUGCGGCGUAUUAAGUGCUGGGAUGUGCCAUGCUCCCGCCCACGCGCACAAUACAACACCCACAACUCACAGUGCUAGUCAGUCUUUCCCAUACUCAUGUACAACUUUUGAAAGACUUAUUAUUUGUACUAUAGUCUCUUAUAAUGUAGUUCUGUGGCUUAGCAAAGAUUGAAUUAUCCUAAUGUUUUUUUUUUUUUUCUUUACGUUCAUCCAAAUGAUUUAUUACAGUGAUCUCAUUGUUAACAAAAGACGACCGUAGCAGUGAAAGGGUUAAGUACAGGCUGCAUUUCUUUAUGCUUUGAUUUGUUUCCAUGUGCACUUAGUUCAGCUAAUUUAUGUGGACUAUUAAGUAGCCUAUAAGUAGAAAUAUUUUUAUGUUAUUAUGCUUUAUACCUGAUCAUGUAAUUUAUCACUGUUAUAAUAUUGUGUUAAAUUUAAUUGCGAGGUUGUGGUCAAUAAACAUAUGUCUAUCUGUC